Molecule: ribosomal RNA, 671 nt
Filed under: uncultured bacterium
Lineage: Bacteria
Description: bacterial SSU rRNA
Rfam family: Bacterial small subunit ribosomal RNA
Source: RNAcentral
AGAGUUUGAUCCUGGCUCAGAUUGAACGCUGGCGGAAUGCUUUACACAUGCAAGUCGAACGGCAGCACGGGGGCAACCCUGGUGGCGAGUGGCGAACGGGUGAGUAAUACAUCGGAACGUGCCCAGUCGUGGGGGAUAACGUAGCGAAAGCUACGCUAAUACCGCAUACGAACUCUGGUUGAAAGCGGGGGAUCGCAAGACCUCGCGCGAUUGGAGCGGCCGAUGGCAGAUUAGGUAGUUGGUGGGGUAAAGGCUCACCAAGCCGACGAUCUGUAGCUGGUCUGAGAGGACGACCAGCCACACUGGGACUGAGACACGGCCCAGACUCCUACGGGAGGCAGCAGUGGGGAAUUUUGGACAAUGGGCGCAAGCCUGAUCCAGCCAUUCCGCGUGCAGGAUGAAGGCCCUCGGGUUGUAAACUGCUUUUGGACGGAACGAAAAGGCCUUUUCUAAUACAGAGGGCUCAUGACGGUACCGUCAGAAUAAGCACCGGGCUAACUACGUGCCAGCAGCCGCGGUAAUACGUAGGGUGCAAGCGUUAAUCGGAAUUACUGGGCGUAAAGCGUGCGCAGGCGGUUAUGUAAGACAGGUGUGAAAUCCCCGGGCUUAACCUGGGAACUGCAUUUGUGACUGCAUAGCUAGAGUACGGUAGAGGGGGAUGGAAUUCCNCG